RNAcentral lists this ribosomal RNA (442 nucleotides) under uncultured bacterium. Its description in RNAcentral is "bacterial SSU rRNA". It matches the Rfam family "Bacterial small subunit ribosomal RNA", at positions 28 to 507 of the family's 1533-position model. The record is from RNAcentral.
GGUGAGCGCUGGCGAUGUGCUUAAUGCAUGCAAGUCGUACGCUUGUAAAAGCGUGGCAGACGGGUGAGUAACGCGUGGGAAACUACUCUAGUCCGGGAAAUACCUCAUCGAAAGGUGAGUUAAUGUCCCAUAGUCCCAGUCCUUUUUUAAAGAGCUGGGUAAAGCUCCGGCGGAUUAGAAGGUGCCUGCGUCCCAUCAGCUUGUUGGUAAGGUAACGGCUUACCAAGGCUAUGACGGGUAGGGGAGCUGAGAGGUUGACCCCCCACACCGGAACUGAGAUACGGUCCGGACUCCUACGGGAGGCAGCAGCAGGGAAUAUUGCGCAAUGGACGAAAGUCUGACGCAGCGACAUCGCGUGAAGGAUGACGGUCCUCGGAUUGUAAACUUCAAUAAUUUAUUAAAAAAUCUUGAUUGAUAAACGAAAGCCCUGGCUAACCACGUG